This is a long non-coding RNA of Arachis ipaensis, 959 nucleotides long. RefSeq lists it as uncharacterized. The record is from RefSeq and is a predicted model, not a curated record. Lineage: Eukaryota; Viridiplantae; Streptophyta; Magnoliopsida; Fabales; Fabaceae.
GGCGGGUGUGUCUCCCUCAGAAUGCAGUUUCUUUUUAAAUAAUUUAUUUUGUUGUUGCAAGGGAGGGCUAAAAGCUCAUACCCAGUAGGGACGAUAAAGAGUGCAUAGAGUGCAGGUUUUGGCUACAACCAUUUACCAUCCAUGAACAAAUCUACUUUCUGUCAUUUGCCGACUUUUUUUUAUAACAUACAAUAAAAUAAAAGAGAGUUCCGGUGACAGAAAAAUUAGGACGAGUUCAUACCAGUGCUGUUUCUGUCGCAAUCCUCCCUCAGGCUGACGAGGUUGAUGUUUCAAUUGAAGAAGGAAGACUUAAAAAUUGAUACCUACAGAUCUGGUGGUCAGCAUGCAAAUACAACAAACAGUGCUGUUAGAAUAACUCACAUUCCGCUGGGACUACAAUUGCUAUAUAAGAUGAGCGCUCUCAACAUCAAGUGAAUAUUUUCAAAAGAUUGGAACAAGGCCAAAGCACUUACCAAAGCACUUAAAGUAGUGUGUGCAAAGCUAUUUGAAAUGGAAAGGGUCCGAGCUCAUAGAUAACACAAUCAAAACUUCGGUCGGAAUAGAUUGGCAGCGGUGAUAGAUCUGAACGCAUCCGGACAUACAACUUUCCUCAAGGCCGUGUCACUGAUCAUAGAGUUGGUAUAACUUAUCACUCAAUAGAUGAUGUGAUGCAUGCUGAGAAUCUUGAGGUAUUUAUUGAUGCUCUUUUAUUGCAAGAAGAAAUGGAUGCAAUUGCAACUUUUAGCUCUUCUCAGUAACACCAACUGAUGGAACCAGGCGUUACUGAGUUAGUCAUUGUUGUACUUCCCAUGCUGAAAAAGAAAGGUUCUUGUAUUUUGAAUAAGAUAUGCUAGAUUUAGAGAGAAAAAAAGGUAGAAAUUCUGAUAGCAUAGUAUCAAAUGAUGUGUGUAUGAUUAUUUGAUAAUAUAAUUACACGAUAUAUUUGGUCACCUGUGUAA